CACGAACCACAAUCUAAAACCUCGACGGACAAUGACGAAGUCAAACCGACCUCGGAUUAAACUGAUUACAGAACUGAGAACAGUGAAUUAAUCUUUCAUGAUUGUUGACUCAACAGAAGCUAGAGCAAAACAGAGACCCUUUCAAGAACUUGGCUCGAAAAGUGAAACAAUCUUUGCUCUGUCAUUGCUUUUCUCCUAUAUUGUUUUUCUGACUCCUAAUUGCUAAUAAAACUUGACUGAAUCUGAAUAAAAGAUUUCAAAAAAAUAGCUUGGAACAGAGCAUCAAACCAUGACCUUAAAAUUUGUACCGCAUCGUAUUUCUAGUUUCAUGCUUUCUUUAUGAUGAAGAAUGUGUGUCGAUCAAAACGAUAAGAAAUACAAAGUUUAGCUAUGCUGCAAUUUUUUCUCUCGUUCUCUCACUGCCUAGCUCAGGCGUUUGCUAUCUCGAACCCUUUCAAUCUAAAGCUCCCUCUUUUGUUUUCUCCCUCCCUCUAUCUAUGUGUGUAUGCAGCUGUAUGAGACUUUGGUUCUGCGUCAAGAAGAAAGAAGCAUCGUUGUUCUUCUUCUACUAUUUUUGUUAGUUCUUUAGGGAUUUUUAGGUUAGCUCCCCAUUGCAAAAGAAGAACGAGGGGUCUAUUCUUAGGAAAAAGGGUGUUCUGGAGUGUGGAGAUGGAGGGGUCUUUUGGAGUUGUUUCGCAACUAUUGUGUUGUUUGUUGAAGACGAUGAAUGACGGGGGUGGAGAGGUUCGAUUUUUGGGAGUUGCGGCUGAAGGGUUGUUUUUACGGAGAGAUUUGGUCUUGGAGUUAUAAGGUUCAGCUG
This 820-nucleotide long non-coding RNA is filed under the name Nicotiana benthamiana. RNAcentral describes it as "long non-coding RNA (NBEN_LNC008927)". Lineage: Eukaryota; Viridiplantae; Streptophyta; Magnoliopsida; Solanales; Solanaceae. The record is from RNAcentral.